Molecule: non-coding RNA, 68 nt
Organism: Ensifer sp. Root278
Lineage: Bacteria; Pseudomonadati; Pseudomonadota; Alphaproteobacteria; Hyphomicrobiales; Rhizobiaceae
Source: Rfam
UGUCAAGAGUUUUCAACGUCGUUUCGGCGAACGAAUUUCUUUUGCCUUGAAAAAGGUGAAGACAAAUG